AACGAACGCUGGCGGCAGGCUUAACACAUGCAAGUCGAGCGCGUGUAGCAAUACACGAGCGGCGCACGGGUGAGUAACGCGUGGAUAUCUGCCUUUUGGUUCGGAAUAACCCCGGGAAACUGGGGCUAAUACCGGAUGGUUCCUACGGGAUAAAGAUUUAUCGCCAAAAGAUGAGUCCGCGUCCGAUUAGCUAGUUGGUGAGGUAACGGCUCACCAAGGCGACGAUCGGUAGCUGGUCUGAGAGGACGAUCAGCCACACUGGGACUGAGACACGGCCCAGACUCCUACGGGAGGCAGCAGUGGGGAAUAUUGGACAAUGGGGGCAACCCUGAUCCAGCCAUGCCGCGUGAGUGAUGAAGGCCUUCGGGUUGUAAAGCUCUUUUGGCGGGGACGAUGAUGACGGUACCCGCA
Molecule: ribosomal RNA, 411 nt
Filed under: alpha proteobacterium Ellin7149
Lineage: Bacteria; Pseudomonadati; Pseudomonadota; Alphaproteobacteria
Description: bacterial SSU rRNA
Rfam family: Bacterial small subunit ribosomal RNA
Source: RNAcentral